AGAGUUUGAUCCUGGCUCAGGACGAACGCUGGCGGCGCGCCUAACACAUGCAAGUCGAACGGAGCUGAGAGGAGCUUGCUUUUCUCAGCUUAGUGGCGAACGGGUGAGUAACGCGUGAGUAACCUGCCCUGGAGUGGGGGACAACAGUUGGAAACGACUGCUAAUACCGCAUAAGCCCACGGCCCGGCAUCGGGCUGCGGGAAAAGGAUUUAUUCGCUUCAGGAUGGACUCGCGUCCAAUUAGCUAGUUGGUGAGGUAACGGCCCACCAAGGCGACGAUUGGUAGCCGGACUGAGAGGUUGAACGGCCACAUUGGGACUGAGACACGGCCCAGACUCCUACGGGAGGCAGCAGUGGGGGAUAUUGCACAAUGGGGGAAACCCUGAUGCAGCGACGCCGCGUGGAGGAAGAAGGUUUUCGGAUUGUAAACUCCUGUCGUUAGGGACGAUAAUGACGGUACCUAACAAGAAAGCACCGGCUAACUACGUGCCAGCAGCCGCGGUAAAACGUAGGGUGCAAGCGUUGUCCGGAAUUACUGGGUGUAAAGGGAGCGCAGGCGGACCGGCAAGUUGGAAGUGAAAACCAUGGGCUCAACCCAUGAAUUGCUUUCAAAACUGCUGGCCUUGAGUAGUGCAGAGGUAGGUGGAAUUCCCGGUGUAGCGGUGGAAUGCGUAGAUAUCGGGAGGAACACCAGUGGCGAAGGCGACCUACUGGGCACCAACUGACGCUGAGGCUCGAAAGCAUGGGUAGCAAACAGGAUUAGAUACCCUGGUAGUCCAUGCCGUAAACGAUGAUUACUAGGUGUUGGAGGAUUGACCCCUUCAGUGCCGCAGUUAACACAAUAAGUAAUCCACCUGGGGAGUACGACCGCAAGGUUGAAACUCAAAGGAAUUGACGGGGGCCCGCACAAGCAGUGGAGUAUGUGGUUUAAUUCGAAGCAACGCGAAGAACCUUACCAGGUCUUGACAUCCGAUGCAUAGUGCAGAGAUGCAUGAAGUCCUACGGGACAUCGAGACAGGUGGUGCAUGGUUGUCGUCAGCUCGUGUCGUGAGAUGUUGGGUUAAGUCCCGCAACGAGCGCAACCCUUAUUGUUAGUUGGUACCAUUAAGUUGACCACUCUAGCGAGACUGCCCGGGUUAACCGGGAGGAAGGUGGGGAUGACGUCAAAUCAUCAUGCCCCUUAUGUCUAGGGCUACACACGUGCUACAAUGGCAAGUACAAAGAGAAGCAAUACUGUGAAGUGGAGCAAAACUCAAAAACUUGUCUCAGUUCGGAUUGUAGGCUGAAACUCGCCUACAUGAAGCUGGAGUUGCUAGUAAUCGAGAAUCAGAAUGUCGCGGUGAAUACGUUCCCGGGUCUU
This 1359-nucleotide ribosomal RNA is filed under the name uncultured bacterium. RNAcentral describes it as "bacterial SSU rRNA". It matches the Rfam family "Bacterial small subunit ribosomal RNA", at positions 8 to 1382 of the family's 1533-position model. The record is from RNAcentral.